CUGGGAGUAGCGCGAGGAAAAGAAGGGCGCUGGGUGAAGCAGUUGCUCAGGAUAUUUCUCUGGCAAUGGAUCGUCACAAACGUGUGAAAUGUUUGCCUGGGGAAAACACACAAAACGAAAUGUGAUGCCAGAGCUUACUGCUGUUUUGUCACACGAGUGUUUUCGACUAAGAUAAGCCAACUUCCCAGAUUCCCAGAGAGAUUAUUUCUUCUGCUGCAGAUAGAGUACUCAGGAUGUAGCAGUCGAAAUAGAAAACUUCAGUAGGAAACUUCCUUUGGGAAGUCCUAACCUGUAUCUCCUCUCACUACAUAGAUGUCUGGAACUUUUAUUAUGUAGACAAGACUGCCUUGGGUCACAGAGAUCUGCCUCCCAAAGGAGGGGUUGACAUCAAGUGCCAAUACUUUAACAGAUGUCUUUUGGCCUCUGAAAUGGCAGUUACAGAUGUAUGAGUGGGCGAAUCUAAGGUCCAGAAACAGGAUACAAUUUUCUCAAGGCAUCGUAUCUAUUUCAGCAGCACAACCAGACAAAAAUUUUGAGUUCUUGUUUAAUACCCAAGGUAUCAGAUAUGGUCCAGGAAUGGAGUCCUGUGAGAAGAUUUCUGAGUGCUUUAUCUCUAGCAUGGACUU
This 626-nucleotide small RNA is filed under the name Rattus norvegicus (Norway rat). RNAcentral's name for it is "uncharacterized LOC102554820". Lineage: Eukaryota; Metazoa; Chordata; Mammalia; Rodentia; Muridae. The record is from RNAcentral.